GCGGUGGUGGCGCAGCGGAAGAGUGCGCAGUCCAUGUCUAGAGAGGCUUUGGCCCUCUAUGCGGCUGUUCCCAGGUUCGAGUUCUGACCACGGCG
Ataeniobius toweri is the source of this 95-nucleotide non-coding RNA. The record is from the annotation of a GenBank genome assembly. Lineage: Eukaryota; Metazoa; Chordata; Actinopteri; Cyprinodontiformes; Goodeidae.